AGCGAACGUUGGCGGCAGGCCUAACACAUGCAAGUCGAACGAACCUUUCGGGGUUAGUGGCGGACGGGUGAGUAACACGUGGGAACGUGCCUUUAGGUUCGGAAUAACUCAGGGAAACUUGUGCUAAUACCGAAUGUGCCCUUCGGGGGAAAGAUUAAUCGCCUUUAGAGCGGCCCGCGUCUGAUUAGCUAGUUGGUUGAGGUAAUGGCUCACCAAGGCGACGAUCAGUAGCUGGUCUGAGAGGAUGAUCAGCCACAUUGGGACUGAGACACGGCCCAAACUCCUACGGGAGGCAGCAGUGGGGAAUCUUGCGCAAUGGGCGAAAGCCUGACGCAGCCAUGCCGCGUGAAUGAUGAAGGUCUUAGGAUUGUAAAAUUCUUUCACCGGGGACGAUAAUGACGGUACCCGGAGAAGAAGCCCCGGCUAACUUCGUG
RNAcentral lists this ribosomal RNA (434 nucleotides) under uncultured bacterium. RNAcentral's name for it is "partial 16S ribosomal RNA". It matches the Rfam family "Bacterial small subunit ribosomal RNA", at positions 29 to 507 of the family's 1533-position model. The record is from RNAcentral.